ACGCUCGACACCUACGGGAGGAACAGUGGGGGAUAUUGCACAAUGGGGGAAACCCUGAUGCAGCAACGCCGCGUGAAGGAUGAAGGUUUUCGGAUUGUAAACUUCUGUUCUUAGUGACGAUAAUGACGGUAGCUAAGAAGAAAGCUCCGGCUAACUACGUGCCAGCACGCCGGACGGUAAUCUGAGGCGGGCUGGACAAGGC
RNAcentral lists this ribosomal RNA (202 nucleotides) under uncultured bacterium. Its description in RNAcentral is "partial 16S ribosomal RNA". It matches the Rfam family "Bacterial small subunit ribosomal RNA", at positions 328 to 538 of the family's 1533-position model. The record is from RNAcentral.